This 250-nucleotide ribosomal RNA is filed under the name uncultured bacterium. RNAcentral's name for it is "partial 16S ribosomal RNA". It matches the Rfam family "Bacterial small subunit ribosomal RNA", at positions 524 to 773 of the family's 1533-position model. The record is from RNAcentral.
UACAGAGGGUGCGAGCGUUAAUCGGAAUUACUGGGCGUAAAGGGUGCGUAGGUGGUUAUUUAAGUUGACUGUGAAAUACUCGGGCUUAACCUGAGAGCGUCAGUCAAAACUGAAUAACUGGAGUAGGAUAGAGGGAAGUGGAAUUUCCGGUGUAGCGGUGAAAUGCGUAGAUAUCGGAAAGAACACCAGUGGCGAAGGCGGCUUCCUGGAUCCAUACUGACACUGAGGCACGAAAGCGUGGGGAGCAAAC